AUUGAACGCUGGCGGCAUGCCUUACACAUGCAAGUCGAACGGCAGCACGGGAGCAAUCCUGGUGGCGAGUGGCGAACGGGUGAGUAAUAUAUCGGAACGUGCCCAGUCGUGGGGGAUAACGUAGCGAAAGCUACGCUAAUACCGCAUACGAUCUAUGGAUGAAAGCGGGGGAUCGCAAGACCUCGCGCGAUUGGAGCGGCCGAUAUCAGAUUAGGUAGUUGGUGAGGUAAAGGCUCACCAAGCCGACGAUCUGUAGCUGGUCUGAGAGGACGACCAGGCACACUGGGACGGAGACACGGCCCAGACUCCUACGGGAGGCAGCAGUGUGGAAUUUUGGACAAUGGGCGCAAGCCUGAUCCAGCAAUGCCGCGUGCAGGAUGAAGGCCUUCGGGUUGUAAACUGCUUUUGUACGGAACGAAACGGCGAGCUCUAAUACAGUUUGCUAAUGACGGUACCGUAAGAAUAAGCACCGGCUAACUACGUGCCAGCCGCCGCCGUAA
This 500-nucleotide ribosomal RNA is filed under the name uncultured bacterium. RNAcentral's name for it is "partial 16S ribosomal RNA". It matches the Rfam family "Bacterial small subunit ribosomal RNA", at positions 30 to 523 of the family's 1533-position model. The record is from RNAcentral.